RNAcentral lists this ribosomal RNA (252 nucleotides) under uncultured bacterium. RNAcentral describes it as "partial 16S ribosomal RNA". It matches the Rfam family "Bacterial small subunit ribosomal RNA", at positions 524 to 776 of the family's 1533-position model. The record is from RNAcentral.
UACGUAGGGUGCGAGCGUUAAUCGGAAUUACUGGGCGUAAAGCGUGCGCAGGCGGUUUGUAAGUCAGAUGUGAAAUCCCCGGGCUCAACCUGGGAACUGCGUUUGAAACUACAAGGCUAGAGUGUAGCAGAGGGGGGUAGAAUUCCACGUGUAGCAGUGAAAUGCGUAGAGAUGUGGAGGAACACCGAUGGCGAAGGCAAUCCCCUGGGCCUGCACUGACGCUCAUGCACGAAAGCGUGGGGAGCAAACAGG